RNAcentral lists this ribosomal RNA (460 nucleotides) under uncultured bacterium. RNAcentral describes it as "partial 16S ribosomal RNA". It matches the Rfam family "Bacterial small subunit ribosomal RNA", at positions 338 to 795 of the family's 1533-position model. The record is from RNAcentral.
CCUACGGGUGGCAGCAGUGAGGAAUAUUGGUCAAUGGGCGCGAGCCUGAACCAGCCAAGUAGCGUGAAGGAUGACUGCCCUACGGGUUGUAAACUUCUUUUAUAAAGGAAUAAAGUGAGGCACGUGUGCCUUUUUGUAUGUACUUUAUGAAUAAGGAUCGGCUAACUCCGUGCCAUCAGCCGCGGUAAUACGGAGGAUCCGAGCGUUAUCCGGAUUUAUUGGGUUUAAAGGGAGCGUAGAUGGGUUGUUAAGUCAGUUGUGAAAGUUUGAGGCUCAACCGUAAAAUUGCAAUUGAUACUGGCAGUCUUGAGUACAGUUGAGGUAGGCGGAAUUCGUGGUGUAGCGGUGAAAUGCUUAGAUAUCACGAAGAACUCCGAUUGCGAAGGCAGCUUACUAAACUGCCACUGACAUUGAUGCUCGAAAGUGUGGGUAUCAAACAGGAUUAGAUACCAUUGUAGUC